CCUACGGGAGGCAGCAGUGAGGAAUAUUGGUCAAUGGCCGAGAGGCUGAACCAGCCAAGUCGCGUGAGGGAAGACGGCCCUACGGGUUGUAAACCUCUUUUGUCGGGGAGCAAAGCGAGUCACGUGUGAUUCAUUGAAAGUACCCGAAGAAAAAGCAUCGGCUAACUCCGUGCCAGCAGCCGCGGUAAUACGGAGGAUGCGAGCGGUAUCCGGCUUUAUUGGGUGUAAAGGGUGAGCAGGCGGAGGUGCAAGUCAGCGGUAAAAUUGCGGGGCUCAACCCCGUACUGCCGUUGAAACUGCAUCCCUUGAGUGCGCGAGAAGUAUGCGGAAUGCGUGGUGUAGCGGUGAAAUGCAGAGAUAUCACGCAGAACUCCGAUUGCGAAGGCAGCAGACCGGCGCGCAACUGACGCUCAUGCACGAAAGCGUGGGUAUCGAACAGGAUUAGAUACCCGAGUAGUC
Molecule: ribosomal RNA, 459 nt
Filed under: uncultured bacterium
Lineage: Bacteria
Description: partial 16S ribosomal RNA
Rfam family: Bacterial small subunit ribosomal RNA
Source: RNAcentral